Molecule: ribosomal RNA, 715 nt
Filed under: Serratia marcescens
Lineage: Bacteria; Pseudomonadati; Pseudomonadota; Gammaproteobacteria; Enterobacterales; Yersiniaceae
Description: bacterial LSU rRNA
Rfam family: Bacterial large subunit ribosomal RNA
Source: RNAcentral
GCGCUUGAGAGAACUCGGGUGAAGGAACUAGGCAAAAUGGUGCCGUAACUUCGGGAGAAGGCACGCUGGCAUGUAGGUGAAGUCCCUUGCGGAUGGAGCUGAAGCCAGUCGAAGAUACCAGCUGGCUGCAACUGUUUAAUAAAAACACAGCACUGUGCAAACACGAAAGUGGACGUAUACGGUGUGACGCCUGCCCGGUGCUGGAAGGUUAAUUGAUGGGGUCAGCCGCAAGGCGAAGCUCUUGAUCGAAGCCCCAGUAAACGGCGGCCGUAACUAUAACGGUCCUAAGGUAGCGAAAUUCCUUGUCGGGUAAGUUCCGACCUGCACGAAUGGCGUAAUGAUGGCCAGGCUGUCUCCACCCGAGACUCAGUGAAAUUGAACUCGCUGUGAAGAUGCAGUGUACCCGCGGCAAGACGGAAAGACCCCGUGAACCUUUACUAUAGCUUGACACUGAACAUUGAGCCUUGAUGUGUAGGAUAGGUGGGAGGCUUUGAAGCGUGGACGCCAGUCUGCGUGGAGCCAUCCUUGAAAUACCACCCUUUAAUGUUUGAUGUUCUAACUCGGCCCCAUAAUCUGGGGUGAGGACAGUGUCUGGUGGGUAGUUUGACUGGGGCGGUCUCCUCCCAAAGAGUAACGGAGGAGCACGAAGGUUAGCUAAUCACGGUCGGACAUCGUGAGGUUAGUGCAAAGGCAUAAGCUAGCUUGACUGCGAGAG